RNAcentral lists this ribosomal RNA (539 nucleotides) under uncultured fungus. RNAcentral's name for it is "eukaryotic LSU rRNA". The stretch from base 187 to 340 matches the Rfam family "5.8S ribosomal RNA". Lineage: Eukaryota; Fungi. The record is from RNAcentral.
AAGUCGUAACAAGGUUUCCGUAGGUGAACCUGCGGAAGGAUCAUUACCUAGAGUUUGCGGGCUUUGCCUGCUAUCUCUUACCCAUGUCUUUUGAGUACUUACGUUUCCUCGGUGGGUUCGCCCGCCGAUUGGACAAUUUAAACCCUUUGCAGUUGCAAUCAGCGUCUGAAAAAAAUUAAUAAUUACAACUUUCAACAACGGAUCUCUUGGUUCUGGCAUCGAUGAAGAACGCAGCGAAAUGCGAUAAGUAGUGUGAAUUGCAGAAUUCAGUGAAUCAUCGAAUCUUUGAACGCACAUUGCGCCCCUUGGUAUUCCAUGGGGCAUGCCUGUUCGAGCGUCAUUUGUACCUUCAAGCUCUGCUUGGUGUUGGGUGUUUGUCUCGCCUUUGCGUGUAGACUCGCCUCAAAACAAUUGGCAGCCGGCGUAUUGAUUUCGGAGCGCAGCACAAGUCGCGCUCUUUGCCAGCCAAGGUCAGCGUCCAGCAAGCCUUUUUUUCAACCUUUGACCUCGGAUCAGGUAGGGAUACCCGCUGAACUUAA